Molecule: ribosomal RNA, 260 nt
Filed under: uncultured bacterium
Lineage: Bacteria
Description: partial 16S ribosomal RNA
Rfam family: Bacterial small subunit ribosomal RNA
Source: RNAcentral
UUAGCAAUAUAAGUGAUGGCGACCGGCGCACGGGUGAGUAACACGUAUCCAACCUGCCGAUAACUCGGGGAUAGCCUUUCGAAAGAAAGAUUAAUACCCGAUGGUAUAAUAAAACCGCAUGGUUUUACUAUUAAAGAAUUUCGGUUAUCGAUGGGGAUGCGUUCCAUUAGUUUGUUGGCGGGGUAACGGCCCACCAAGACUACGAUGGAUAGGGGUUCUGAGAGGAAGGUCCCCCACAUUGGAACUGAGACACGGUCCAA